Molecule: long non-coding RNA, 263 nt
Organism: Bufo bufo (common toad)
Lineage: Eukaryota; Metazoa; Chordata; Amphibia; Anura; Bufonidae
Exons: 3
Source: RefSeq, a predicted model, not a curated record
CAAAGAUCUAUACAAGCACGUCCUGAUGGAGGAUCACCGCCCCUUCACAUCAUCAGUUAAAGAAGAGAGAACAAUGCCGGAAAGAUGUCCCAGUCCUCUUCUUCCACAGGAUGGUUCAGAAGAACAUCACAAUGUCCCACAGGAUGAUCAGCUUUUGAACAAUAUUAAGGCUGAAGAUACAUAUGUGAGGGGUGAUGAGCAGAUCAUAGAGGACUUUCCCACAGAUUACCACCUAGGUGAGUAGUAACCACUAAAUAAUGCAG